RNAcentral lists this long non-coding RNA (1400 nucleotides) under Chrysemys picta bellii (western painted turtle). Its description in RNAcentral is "lncRNA (ENSCPBG00000028126.1)". The record is from RNAcentral. Lineage: Eukaryota; Metazoa; Chordata; Testudines; Emydidae.
UGGGGUGAAAUUAUGAUAAGAAAAUCCAGUCUAUUAGACUGAACAGUUUCUUGACAGGAAGUUGGCCAAGGGACAGGGGUGGAAGCCCUGUGGCUCAGGGCACCCCGAACUAGGCUGGACAAAAGACCCUACAAACAUACAGAAUGGAACAGUCCUGCACUGGGAGUGGCACCAAACAGCCUAAUGUCUUCACGUCUAGGAUUCUCAGACCGCCCCAGGAGUGCUCCUCAGGCAAGGGCUGUAGAGCUGACAGCUUUCAAAUCCUCAGGGUUCUGAGAGGCGCUUUUCCAGGUGAUGCCCAGCCCUGCCCCCUUCUCCCCCGGGCUCUCCAAACAGAAGGCAGGUCCGUGGAAGCCGGGCACAGCGGCCAUCUUGAUUUCCUCCUGGAGACCCACAACGUCCCACGCCAUUGAACAUGUGUUUUUUACUUCCGGCACGUGCAGCUAAAACCAAGGCACGCCUGGGGCAUCCGGGCAGGCAGGAGGACUUCCCUGACCUGCUCCUCGCUGACCAUUCACACGUGACCUGCUUCCCUUGCCCCUGGCGUUAGCCCUACUGUAAUGGGCGGCAGCCGCUCCUCCCUGGGCCUUGGUUAGGUAGCCCCACGCUGCUUUGCUAGUCUGCCAUUAGACGGGGAGGGACAAACUUUGAAAGGUUCAGCUAAAACACCCCCCAGAAGCUGUUUUCCCAACUGUGAUUGGAACCCCAAUGGUCCGGUGAGGCUAGUGAGCAAAGCUACUCUCCAGCCCCCGGCCGGUUCAUGUCCCCCAAGGAGAGGUGGGGAUUGCAGCCCCAUGUCCUCACUUGGUGCAGGCCCGCUGAGUAAUCAGAGACAUGUAAGGCUGGAAGGGCCUUGAGAAGUCACCAAGUCCAGCCCCCUGCACUGAAACAAGACUACGUCAACCUGGCUGCCCCACUUCCCAGCCAGCUGAGGGCUCUGCCAGCUUUCCCUGCCCCCCAACUCUUGCCUGGUAGAGCAGCUAAAGCUCAGGGGCUUUCCAUACAGGGCAAAAGCUGAAAUGACUCAUUCCAUGAAAAGACCAUGCAGGGCUCUGGAGAGGCUGAAGGCUCAACCUGAGACACUCAGUCAGUGGGACGUGGCACCAUCGUGAAAUGGGGGGUGUAACAUCAGGGCAGAACUAGGUGUGUCUAGCUAGAAUAGUGUCGUUUCUGGCUCACUGGCCAGGGCAAGACCCAGUCCUUUCAUGUUAGUUCUGUCCUUCGUGCACUAGCUGGGCUGGAGGCAAAGUGAAGGAAAAGGUAAUGCGCUCCCCUUCCCACUCACUCAUCUCCUGCCUGAGCACGGCCUGUUAAAAGGCAGCACACAAAGUAGCCCUCGCAAUGCACUAGCCCCCUCGUGUUCUGUACACACAAUAAAACGUUCCCUCCCCUUAACUGCA